CCUACGGGAGGCUGCAGUGGGGAAUAUUGCACAAUGGGCGAAACCCUGAUGCAGCGACGCCGCGUGAGGGAAGAAGGCAUUCGGUAUGUAAACCUCUAUCAACAGGGAAGAAAAUGACGGUACCUGAGUUAAAAACCCCGGCUCACAACGUGCCAGCAGCCGCGGUAAUACGUAGGGGGCAAGCGUUAUCCGGAUUUACUGGGUGUAACGGGGUCGUAGACGGCAGUGCAAGUCUGGAGUGAAAGGCGCGGGCUCAACCCCCGGACUGCUCUGGAAACUGUACGGCUGGAGUGCAGGAGAGGUAAGCGGAAUUCCUAGUGUAGCGGUGAAAUGCGUAGAUAUAAGGAGGAACACCAGUGGCGAAGGCGGCUUACUGGACUGUAACUGACGUUGAGGCUCGAAAGCGUGGGGAGCAAACAGGAUUAGAUACCCCGGUAGUC
RNAcentral lists this ribosomal RNA (440 nucleotides) under uncultured bacterium. RNAcentral's name for it is "partial 16S ribosomal RNA". It matches the Rfam family "Bacterial small subunit ribosomal RNA", at positions 338 to 795 of the family's 1533-position model. The record is from RNAcentral.